AUUGAACGCUGGCGGAAUGCUUUACACAUGCAAGUCGAGCGGCAGCACGGGGGCAACCCUGGUGGCGAGCGGCGAACGGGUGAGUAGUACAUCGGAACAUGCCCAGUCGUGGGGGAUAACACUUCGAAAGAAGUGCUAAUACCGCAUACGUCCUGAGGGGGAAAGCGGGGGAUCGCAAGACCUCGCGCGAUUGGAGUGGCCGAUGUCAGAUUAGCUAGUUGGUGGGGUAAAGGCCUACCAAGGCAACGAUCUGUAGCUGGUCUGAGAGGAUGAUCAGCCACACUGGGACUGAGACACGGCCCAGACUCCUACGGGAGGCAGCAGUGGGGAAUUUUGGACAAUGGGGGCAACCCUGAUCCAGCCAUUCCGCGUGAGUGAAGAAGGCCUUCGGGUUGUAAAGCUCUUUCGGCAGGAACGAAACGGUGAGCUCUAACAUAGCUUGCUAAUGACGGUACCUGAAGAAGAAGCACCGGCUAACUACGUG
Molecule: ribosomal RNA, 484 nt
Filed under: uncultured bacterium
Lineage: Bacteria
Description: partial 16S ribosomal RNA
Rfam family: Bacterial small subunit ribosomal RNA
Source: RNAcentral